RNAcentral lists this ribosomal RNA (497 nucleotides) under uncultured bacterium. RNAcentral describes it as "partial 16S ribosomal RNA". It matches the Rfam family "Bacterial small subunit ribosomal RNA", at positions 28 to 507 of the family's 1533-position model. The record is from RNAcentral.
GAUGAACGCUGGCGGCGUGCCUAAUACAUGCAAGUCGAGCGAACAGACGAGGAGCUUGCUCCUUCGACGUUAGCGGCGGACGGGUGAGUAACACGUAGGUAACCUACCUAUAAGACUGGGAUAACUUCGGGAAACCGGAGCUAAUACCGGAUAAUAUUUCGAACCGCAUGGUUCGAUAGUGAAAGAUGGCUUUGCUAUCACUUAUAGAUGGACCUGCGCCGUAUUAGCUAGUUGGUAAGGUAACGGCUUACCAAGGCAACGAUACGUAGCCGACCUGAGAGGGUGAUCGGCCACACUGGAACUGAGCCACGGUCCAGACUCCUACGGGAGGCAGCAGUCGGGAAUCUUCCGCAAUGGGCGAAAGCCUGACGGAGCAACGCCGCGUGAGUGAUGAAGGUCUUCGGAUCGUAAAACUCUGUUAUUAGGGAAGAACAAACGUGUAAGUAACUGUGCACGUCUUGACGGUACCUAAUCAGAAAGCCACGGCUAACUACGUG